CACACCGCGCCUGUCAUUAAAUGGCGCCAGCGAGGCAGAAGUCGAAGGCCGAGCGCUAGGGUACACGGCGCCAUUGCACCCCAAUCUCACCCAAGCUCCGCGGGCACGACCCGGCCGGGCUCCCGCGGCUACCGGGCCCUCGGGGGGGGCCGGGGGCCGGGCCUCGCUGGAUCCCGGCAGCCGCGGCGGCCGAGGCCGCACCGCCCUCCCCGCGCCCGGCCCCAGCGCCGCCGGCGGCCGCCUCCCGCACUCCUCCCCUCGCAGGCAGCGGGCACCGUGCCCCCCGGCUGCCUGGGGCGGCCCGUGGGAGGGCACGGCCGUCUCCCGUGGGAGGCAGAGCGACUGCCAGGCGCGCCCCAGCCCCACCGGCAAGAAGCCCUGAAGAGAAUGUUUUCUUCUUCAGUAAAUUAAGAUAUUCCUGGUUUAGCAGACUAAUAUCUGUAGGCUAUAAGAAGCCAUUGGAAGGGGUUGACCUAUUUGAGCUGAAUGAAGGUGAUUCACUCUACAGUGUGUCCCUAACUUUGAAAAGCAAUAGAGAAAAGAAAUCCAGAAGUCUACCACAGGAUUAAUGGUUUCUUACUUCAGAAGAGUGCUAUUUAAGAAAACAAGUCUCCGUAAACCAUCUUUGAUUUUGCCAUUAUGGCAAGCGUUUCAAUUUUUAUUGAUUAAACUUGCAUUUCUGAAGGUUACAGAUGACAUUCUGGCUUUCAUGAGUCCACAAAUAACGAAGGUGUCAAUAUAAGUGGAGGGCAGAAGCAGAGAGUGAGUCUCGCUAGAGCUGUGUACAGCAAUGCUGACUUGUAUCUUCUGGAUGAUCCCCUGUCUGCUGUAGAUGGACAUGUUGGGAAACAUCUUUUGAGAAGCUAAUUGGCCCUUCAGGUCUCCUAAAAAGCAAGAUAAUUCAGAGUCUAAAUUUUUGGGUGCGUAAAGCAUGUGAACUUGAGACCAAUGCUGUUUCAAUUGAAAGAGUUUGUGAAUAUGCUAAAAUGGAUAAAGAGAGAACCAUACAUUUGAUGGAGCUGAUCAUAUAAAUACAGCAUCAACCUCUGAUUAAAAUCCUGUCCGCCAAGCUUGUUGUUACCUGAAACAUCAGAAUAAAAGGCAUCAGACACACCACCUACAAAGCUCCAGAAAGCAGCACACAUCUCUCUUACUGGGAGAUGUGCUCAAGGGCCAGAACAACGAUACUAGGACCAUAAGCAUAGCACAAGAGCUCACAGAGAUGACAAAAUAGACAUAAUUGUUCUCCACUAAGAAUGCAUAUGGCUAGUAAUUUCCAGAUUUUUAUUUAGCAACCAUUUUAGAAUCCACCCCUCUCCAUUUUUUUCCCCUGGAACUGCUCUGCUACACUGUAACAGAAAAAAGCAGUGGUUGUUACCACAGAGGAAUUCUCCAUAGAAGAAAAGGUGUUAACAACAAUUUCUAGCUGAAACCCUGUAACUGAAAUGCAAUCUCUCACUGCAAAUUGUUUUUCCACAGCUAAAAUUCUCAGUUUCAAAUUUCUCUCUCUGGCCAGAGUAUAUUUUUCUCUUAGCAUUUCCACAGUACAGCUUUAUUGGGAUUAUUGUUUUAACAGUAUCAAGUUAUUCAAUGUCUUCAUGCACUUAAACGAAAAACUACAUGCUACUGAAAUAUAUGUAUACACCCUGAUGAAAGCAGAAGUGAUAAAAUGCAAGCAGUGAACUCCAAGCUCCAUUAACAGAGAGAGAGGUAUAAUAUAUAACCAAUUUCUACGGAAAGAUUAUUCUUGCACUACAUUUUCAAAACCUUUCAAACAAUUGCUCAUAUUUUCCAUUCAACUGAAUUAAAAAAAAUGGCCUGUGGAUUUUCAUCUCUGUUGAACAAUAUUCUCAAAACCAUUUUGUUUUGACUGAAAACAGGUAUUCACUUAGUGGACCUCUACACCUAACUAAAUCAGAAUGAAGCUGCUGAAUAUUUUCUGCUGUUCCACUCUUACUGGACUGAACAGUAGCUCACAUGAAAAACUGGUUCAUGGAAGACCUGUUGGAAUCCAGGUCAUCUGAAAAGCAGUUGUGUAUUCACUACAGUUUUACUAAAGAUUGCUGCCAGAACUCUUUGCCAAGUGAUGAGCCACUCUGGCACAUACGCAUCAGAAAACUUAAUUCUGGCUUAGCAGCACACGCAUUCCCCAACCCUGCCCAACUGAGCUGCAGCCAAACACAAGGUGAGGAUGAUUUGGCAAGUAUUGCCAGUUUAGACAAAGGGAAUAGGAAGAUCUGUAAUAUCCCCAACCCCCAAAAGUGCAGUCAAAGUAACUAUAAUACCCACAAGCACUUUACUAGUGGGCACAAAAGUUAAUUGCUGUGGAUAAAAUGAAACUACAACUUACUCCUUUAAGUCAGCCAAAACCUAUGAUUUUACCUUAAUUGUUGAAACCAGUCACAAACCUAAUGUUGCAUGAAAGGCAGCUGAGAACACAUUCAGAGAACACUUUGUGACAAGGCUGAUAUGUUUUAAAAAGCCCCUCUAGUGGUGACUUUAGGUGCACCUUUCCUUUCACCCCCACUCCUUGGAAAAAAAAAAAAAAAAAAAAAAAGUACAGCAUUUUUCUCACCUGCCAUGGCUCGAGUGAGGAACAUCCCUCCCUGUUUGUUCAAGAGAGACACAUCCAAAGUUCCUCCACCCAAAUCCACCACCAGAACAUUAAACACAUCAGCUUUGUGGAGUCCAUAAGCCAUAGCUGCAGCUGUGGGUUCAUUGAUUACUCGCAAAAUGUUUAGCCCUUCAAAGAGCAAAGAUACCAAACAACAGUCAGGGACGCUUCAAAAAAACUGCAGUUCUCACAUCAUAAUGACACCAUUAGUUCUUUGGGUUUUUUUAACCAAACUUACCUUAAGCAAAACGUCAGAUCUAAAGGAAAUAGUUUUCUAAACAGUAAUACUCAGUGAACUCUUUUCCUUAUUUAAGCCUAAAGUAGUACUACCUCAGUAUUAGGGUGAAGUCAUGAACCAUGAUUUGCCCAAACACAUUUCUUCCAGAGAAAGCUGCUAAGGAGACUAAUUUCACAUGUUCUAUAUCUGUUUAAAUUACUGUCCAAGGGUGCUCUGUAUAGCCUCUAUUUGGAGAUUACCAAAAAGACUACUCUCCCUGAAGUAAAAUUUACUACUUCUAGCUACCUAUGCUUGCCUUAGUCAACUGUACCUGUCAGUACCCAAGAAUUCUUUGCUGUUCUUCACAAUUGUUAAUGGUCUGUUUAAAAAACAUAAAAAAAUAAAGAAAAUAAAAUUCCACUCUGAGGUUCUCUA
This is a long non-coding RNA of Tyto alba (common barn owl), 3266 nucleotides long. RefSeq lists it as uncharacterized. The record is from RefSeq and is a predicted model, not a curated record. The transcript has 7 exons. NCBI's taxonomy places the organism in Eukaryota, Metazoa, Chordata, Aves, Strigiformes, Tytonidae.